GCUCUCCUCUCCUGCUAAGCUUUGUUUCCUGGCAGUAAUCAAAACCUUCUGCCACUGCCACAGCUACUGCUGCUGCUGCUAGAACCACCAUAGCCACCUUGGUUUUGUGGUUUGUCAAAGUACUGGUCUCCACCACCACAGGGGCCACAGUUUCUGUCUCCAAAAUUUCCUCGUUUCAUGGGUCCAAAAUUUGAAGACUUAUUUUUGUAAUUGCCAAAAUCAUUAUAGCUUUCCACCUCCAAAGUUGCUUCCAUCAUCACCAAAUCCGUUAUAGCCAUCCCCACUGUCACCAUAUCCACCACCAUCUUGACUGCCACCAAAGCCACCUCACCCACUGAAGUUUCCUCCAGAACCAAAGCUGUCAUUCCUACCAAAACCACUUCCACAACCACCACCAAAGUUUUUAGAACCACUUCAACUUCUUUUGCUGGAUGAAGCACUAGCCAUCUCCUGCUUAAAUAGAGCUUUCCUUACUUCACAGUUGUGGCCAUUCACAGUAUGGUAUUUUUGAACAACAAUCUUGUCUACAAAGUCAUGGCCAUCAAAUGUUACAAAAGCAAAGCCUCUCUUUUUGCCACUGCUUCAGUCAGUCAUGAUUUCAAUCAGUUCAAUUUUCAUAUACUGUUCAAAACAAUCUCUUAGAUGUUCUUCAUGUAUCUUCUUUAAUGCCACCAACAAAAAUCUUUUUCACAGUUAAGUAGGCACCAAGUCUUUGAGAAUCUUCUCUUGAGACAGCCCUCUUUGGUCCUACAACUCUUUUUUUUUUUUUUCAACGUUUAUUUAUUUUUGGGACAGAGCAUGAACGGGCGAGGGGCAGAGAGAGAGGGAGACACAGAAUCGGAAACAGGCUCCAGGCUCUGAGCCAUCAGCCCAGAGCCUGACGCGGGGCUCGAACUCACGGACCGCGAGAUCGUGACCUGGCUGAAGUCGGACGCUUAACCGACUGCGCCACCCAGGCGCCCCUGGUCCUACAACUCUUAAUCCACCUUGUGUGGCCUUGCAUUCAUGGCUGCAUCCACCUCUUCCACACUGGCAUACGUGACAAACCCAAAGCCUCUGGAUUGCUUGGUGUUUGGAUCUCUCAUUACCACAAAGUCUGUAAGCAUUCCCCAAUGUUCAAAAUGGCUCCUCAGACUCUCAUCA
This 1143-nucleotide long non-coding RNA is filed under the name Lynx pardinus (Iberian lynx). The record is from RNAcentral. Lineage: Eukaryota; Metazoa; Chordata; Mammalia; Carnivora; Felidae.